CCUACGGGUGGCAGCAGUGAGGAAUAUUGGUCAAUGGACGAGCGUCUGAACCAGCCAAGUAGCGUGAAGGAUGACUGCCCUAUGGGUUGUAAACUUCUUUUAUAAAGGAAUAAAACGAGGCACGUGUGCCUUUUUGCAUGUACUUUAUGAAUAAGGAUCGGCUAACUCCGUGCCAGCAGCCGCGGUAAUACGGAGGAUCCGAGCGUUAUCCGGAUUUAUGGGGGUUCACGGGCGCGUAGAUGGGUUGUUACGUCCGGUGUGAAAGUUUGCGGCUCAACCGUAAAAUUGCAAUUGAUACUGGCAGUCGUGAGUACAGUUGAGGUAGGCGGAAUUCGUGGUGUAGCGGUGAAAUGCUUAGAUAUCACGAAGAACCCCGAUUGCGAAGGCAGCUUACGAAACUGUGACUGACAGGGAUGCUCGAAAGUGGGGGUAUCAAACAGGAGUAGAUACCCUGGUAGUC
Molecule: ribosomal RNA, 460 nt
Filed under: uncultured bacterium
Lineage: Bacteria
Description: partial 16S ribosomal RNA
Rfam family: Bacterial small subunit ribosomal RNA
Source: RNAcentral